Molecule: long non-coding RNA, 1630 nt
Organism: Homo sapiens (human)
Lineage: Eukaryota; Metazoa; Chordata; Mammalia; Primates; Hominidae
Gene: SDHAP4
Product: SDHA pseudogene 4
Source: Ensembl
AGUCUGCGCAGGGACUGGCGGGACUGCGCGGAGGCGACUGCAGACGUAUCGGGGGUCCGGAGCCUGUCGCGGCUGCUAAGCGCUCGGCGCCUGGCGCUGGCGCUGGCCAAGGCUCCUUUACUGUUCCAGGAUACAGAUCUCCUGAUUCAGGUGUCCAGUGCCUUUUGAACUGAACGCAAGCCCUCCUGGACGAUUGGAACUGUAAUGUGGAAAGGGCUCUGAUGGAGCCAGUUAAAAUGCUUCAUUAUUUGCAAAAUACCACAUACAGUAAUACGAUCUGGAUGUCUUUCCCCUCCUCCACUAAGUAGCAUAAGUGAAGACUUCCCAGAGGAAGUGCGCCUUUUUCAUCUCGUAUCUGAGUCAUGUUGCAAACAGGAACCCGAGGUGUUCACUUCACUGUUGAAGGAACGAGAGGGCAUCUGCUAAAGUUUCAGAUUCCAUUUCUGCUCAGUAUCCAGUAGUGGAUCAUGAAUUUGAUGCAGUGGUGGUAGGCGCUGGAGGGGCAGGCUUUGCGAGCUGCAUUUGGCCUUUCCGAGGCAGAGUUUGAUACAGCAUGUGUUACCAAGCUGUUUCCUACCAGGUCACACACUGUUGCAGCGCAGCUAGAAAAUUAUGGCAUGCCGUUUAGCAGAACUGAAGAUGGGAAGAUUUAUCAGCGUGCAUUUGGUGGACAGAGCCUCAAGUUUGGAAAGGGCAGGCAGGCCCAUCGGUGCUGCUGUGUGGCUGAUCGGACCGGCCACUCAAUAUUGCACACCUCAUAUGGGAGGUCUCUGAGAUAUGAUACCAGCUGUUUUGUGGAGUAUUUUGCCUUGGAUCUCCUGAUAGAGAACAGGGAGUGCCGUGGUGUCAUUGCACUGUGCAUAGAGGACGGGUCCAUCCAUCACAUAAGAGCAAAGAACACUGUUGUUGCCACAGGAGUCAAGAAACUUUUCUUUUGAGCUAUUGACAGCUUUUAACAAGUUAUUAUACUCCUAUGAACAAAAUUUGGAGCAUAUUUGUUUCUCUCUGCCUGAUUUCUCCUGAAUUUGGAAACUAUUUGACAUGAGGAUUCUCAACCUGAUAAAAAUGAGCUUUCCUAAUAACUCAAGACCCAUCUGCCUAGGAAUAAACCAUCCCAGCUGUGAGAGACCAGACGAAACCUGAGACCAGAGACUCGUUUUCUUCUAAAAUGCUUUCUCCAAAAGAUUUUUAAACAGAAAAAGGGGGAAAUGUGAAAGGAAAAGAAAACUUGAGGCCCCCAAAAUCACUAAGCUAAAAGGAAAAGUCAAGCUGGGAAUGGCUUAGGGCAAACCUGCCUCCCAUUCUAUGCAAAGUCAUCCCUCCGUGCACUGAGAUAAAUGCUUAUCUAAUUGCCUCCUUUGGAGAGGCUCAUCAGAAACUCAAAAUAAUGCAACCAUUUGACUCUCACCUACCUGUGACCUGGAAGAUCCCUCUCUGCUUGAGUUGUCCUGCUUUUCUGGAUGGAACCAAUGUUCAUCUUACAUAUAUUGAUUGAUGUCUCAUGUCUCCCUAAAAUGUAUAAAACCAAGCUGUGCCCUGACCACCUUGGGCACAUGUCGUCAGGACCUCCUGAGGCUGUGCCACAGGCAUGCAGCCUCAACCUUGGCAAAAUAAACUUUCUAAAUUGACU